Molecule: long non-coding RNA, 597 nt
Filed under: Homo sapiens (human)
Lineage: Eukaryota; Metazoa; Chordata; Mammalia; Primates; Hominidae
Description: non-protein coding lnc-GPR39-6:2
Source: RNAcentral
CCAGGGGGGCCCUCAAGCCUGGCGCGCACGCAUUCCAGACGACACCCAGACCAUGCUCCGCCGCCUGGGCGCCCAAGCUGCAGUCGCCCUCUGUGUGCAGGCAGCAGCUGCCUGGCAACCCCCGAGCCCGCUCGCGCUCCCAGCAUCGCAGAACCAGGGCCAGGUAUCCCAGUGGCUGCGAUCAAGCCAGUCAUUCUGCCCGGCGGCGGCGGCUGCACAGGAGCCAGAACUGAGAACCCGCCGCUCAGCCCCACACGGGGUGACUGCCGAGUGCCCGUGCCAGCGGCCCAGAUCUCCCUCAGGUGGAGGAGUGGGCGAGAGGCACGGCCUGGGGGCCCUCAGGCUGGGCGCGCUGGCGAUCCCAAGGCCGACCAGGCCAUGCACCUCCAGCCCGCCUGGGCACCUAAGCUGCAGCCGCCUUCUGUGUGCAGGCAGCAGCCUCCAGGCAACUCCCGAGCCCGCCCGCACUCCCCACAUCUCGGAACCAGGGCCAGAUGUCCCUGUGGCUGCGGCGAAGCCAGGCGGUCUGCCCUGCAGCAGCUGCACGGGGGCGGGAACCGGCCCUCAGCCCCAUCCCCGGUGGCUGUAGAGGACCCC